CAGCGUCACGAGUGGCAACCAUAUUUAUUGGGCCUAAAGCGUCCGUAGCCUGUUUGAUAAGUCUUUUGUGAAAUCGUUGAGCUCAACUUAACGUCGUGCAAGAGAUACUGUCAGACUUGGAAUUGGGAAGAGUUAGAGGUAUUCUGGGGGGAGCGGUAAAAUGCUAUAAUCCCUGGAGGACCACCAGUGGCGAAAGCGUCUAACUAGAACAACUUCGACGGUGAGGGACGAAAGCCAGGGGAGCAAAACGGAUUAGAUACCCGAGUAGUCC
This 271-nucleotide ribosomal RNA is filed under the name uncultured archaeon. RNAcentral describes it as "partial 16S ribosomal RNA". It matches the Rfam family "Archaeal small subunit ribosomal RNA", at positions 477 to 747 of the family's 1478-position model. The record is from RNAcentral.